CCUACGGGAGGCAGCAGUGAGGAAUAUUGGUCAAUGGUCGGGAGGCUGAACCAGCCAAGCCGCGUGAGGGAUGAAGGUACAGAGUAUCGUAAACCUCUUUUGUCAGGGAACAAAGGCGGGGACGUGUCCCCGGAGGAGUGUACCUGAAGAAAAAGCAUCGGCUAACUCCGUGCCAGCAGCCGCGGUAAUACGGAGGAUGCGAGCGUUAUCCGGAUUUAUUGGGUUUAAAGGGUGCGCAGGCGGUCUGUUAAGUCAGCGGUAAAAGCCCGGGGCUCAACCCCGGCCCGCCGUUGAAACUGGGAGGCUUGAGUUGGAGAGAAGUAUGCGGAAUGCGCGGUGUAGCGGUGAAAUGCAUAGAUAUCGCGCAGAACUCCGAUGGCGAAGGCAGCAUGCCGGCUCCACACUGACGCUGAGGCACGAAAGCGUGGGUAUCGAACAGGAUUAGAUACCCGGGUAGUC
Molecule: ribosomal RNA, 459 nt
Filed under: uncultured bacterium
Lineage: Bacteria
Description: partial 16S ribosomal RNA
Rfam family: Bacterial small subunit ribosomal RNA
Source: RNAcentral